GACUGAACAACCAGGCAAAAUGCCACUUUUGUGUCAGGCCGUACUUUUCUCCCCUUCGCCCACGAUCAGGCGUGCCUGUGCCCUAAAAAGUACGGCCUGAUACUCAGGUUACGACAAAUCAUGCUAUAAGGUUAUUAAAGAAGCGUGGCAUAGUUUGGAAUUUGGACAAUCAAAUAUUUAAUUACCACUAAAAUGAUUGCACAAAUCUCAUGAUUAAUUUUUAUUAAUAAUUAACCCACCCUCAACUGCCUUACAUACACCAUAGAUAUAUUAUAUACACUAGAUAGUGCCUCUAAUUAUUCUGCAAUUCAAAAAUUGAAGCCGUGAUUGGAGUCUCAGGUCGUUCCCAUGAAAUGUGAAGAUUCGUAUAUUUUGUAUUUCUUAAACACGGAACUUAAACAUGAAGUUAACCUUUUUCCAAAUACGUUUUUAAACUAUUCAAAUGAUGAAAGUUAUUGUUGUUUUUAAGCGUUUAUUAGGAAGUGGGAACGACCAACAUGGUCGCCAUCUAUUCAAAUGGGGGUAACCGCUGGAAUAUUCUUGGCUUCAAUUUUACUAAAAUAGAUGCGCUAUCUAGUGUAUAUAAGAUAUCUAUGACAUACACCGACUCACAACAACAAUAAUCACCUGCGUUCCAAGCAUAGCAACCAAUGAGAGCCAACACACUGAAAUCCAGUAGUAAACUAAUAUAGUAAACUUUAGUAAAAUAAUAUAUAAAACAUAUAACAUAUACUGUUAUAGUAUAGGUCUAAUAUGCUUUUGCCUUUAGGAGUAUAUAAGUCAUGAAACAGCUUUUAAAACAGCGAGGCAAAUAUUAGCCGCAUUUGAUGAAGAAUCUUCUAGAAGGUACAGGAGCUCGAGUAUCAAACAAAUUAUUUCUUUAAUUAAUAUCUAUCAUCGGGGGGUAUGCUACCAGCUUUGGGGGUUGAAUAGCCUACAUGCCAGGCGGUCUAAAAUACCGCCUGCUGGGUUUGGCAGUGUAAUUUGAUAACCACCCACUUUUUUGUCCGGGUCCAAUUAGCCAAUCAGCAAACACUAAAUAUAUUAAUAAUCAAACUGUCAAACUAUGUCAUUGUUUGGUUUGCAAAUGUAUAAAAAUAUGUCGAAAGACACGCCAUUGAAAGUUUCAAUCAGGACCUCUGAAUAACGACAAGUCGGACAAGAGGUAGAAAAGCAAGCGCGGAAAAUGUAAAUGACUUGUCGUUUGUGUAUUAACUGUGCUUUGAAACUAAAAUACGGUGCAAUAGAGAAAAUAUCUUAUAUUCUUAUUAUCUUAUAUAUCGUCGGAGAAAUGAUUUAUUUAAGGUAAGCAAAAGAAACGUUACGACAGUGGCAAAACCUUGGCCGAAAUAAGCCGAAUUGCCGGUUCAGUUCAUUUAGGAAUCGAAGUUAAUUCUACCUUGGAACUAUCCGACCGAGUUUGUAAACCGUGUGAGCGAAAUAUCCGAAAUGCAAGCGAACUGAUUGCCAUAAUCAAACGAGACGUAAACGUGUUGCCUGUGUAUGUUCGAACAAAUAGACAGUUGUAUAUUAAUUAAAAACCUCAGUUGCCAAUAUGAACUGUCUCGUCUCCCUAACCGGAAGCCGUGUGGUAACGAUUAACGAAUGCCUUAAAAAGUUCAGAAAGUGAAGCGGCUAAUAGGCCUAGGCGUAAUAGUCCUGUUAUAAAACCCGUUGCAAGAAAGACUAUACGGCCGUCUGUAUCUCUUCUCGUUAUAUUUUUUCGCGCCAACAAGAACUAUGCAAAAAUCAAACUUUUCCCAUAGAACGGCCAAAACAUUGUUUCCAAGGAAUAAAUCUUUAACUGCAAUCUCUUGCUCGCGUUUGACAAUCAGUUCGCGUUGAACAGCUAUUAAUUAAAGCGAACGCAUGUAUCAUUAAAGUGUUAAACGUAUGUUUACAUAUUAAAGUGUAUUCACUUUAGAGUGACAGCGGCUCAGACUCGCAGCCAAUCAUCAAUUCCCGUCCACUGGUGCAGGCGGUAUUUCCAAGGCUUACCCAAUUUUAGGAACCGCCUGCCAUGUAGGCUAGGGGUUGAACUGCCAGGUUUGUUAUUCUUAUUAUUCACAACAAUUAAUAGACAAAUUUGACUAACGCUUAAUGUUUAUAUCUUUGCUACCCAAUUCGCAACAGGGGGUGGGGCGGCAGAUAUUUAAAGUGGACAAUGCAAUUUCUAAUGAGGGGGGGGGGGGUUGCUGGCAAAAAAAUCGUGACAAGAGGAGGUGGGCGACGAAAAAUUUGAAGUGCAGUCGUUGAUAUACCUUGCACAUGAGGGGUUGGAGGGGCGGCUAUAAAAAUAAACAGUGCCCUUGGGAGUGGGCCAUAAAAAUAUUUGGGAAUAGAAGAAAGCUAGCCCUGAAAAAUGUAUUAAAAGUUGUAAGAUUCUCCUGUUCCGCUCCCCGUCAAUGAUAAGGCUAUGUGCAUAAUGAGCAGUGCUUGAGCGUCGGGACAGCUAACCUAGACGAAAGGACAGUUAACCUGGACAAAGUGAACGUUGAAGAGCUAGUUAAAUCCAAAUGUCAUGUAACGACAAAGUCAAAACUCUAUAACUGAUCAUCAAUGCUGAUUUGGACGCAUCGCAUCAAUUAAGAAAAACAUCAUUAUAACGAACGAACCACCUUGGAUG
Non-coding RNA from Paramuricea clavata, 2626 nucleotides. The record is from the annotation of a GenBank genome assembly. Lineage: Eukaryota; Metazoa; Cnidaria; Anthozoa; Malacalcyonacea; Plexauridae.